AUGUGCCGGGCGCCCACCCCUUCCCGCCUGGCCCCAGGCACACGGGACAGCGUGGGGGUCCGCAACGCGCCCUGUGGGAGCACCCCGGCAAAAACCCUCGUGGCACCGCCACGGGGCAGGUCCAUGGCACCCAGCACCAGGCUGACAUCUCGAAAAAGCGCCCAGCAAGGAGGCAAAUCUUCUGUGGCAGCUGCCAUGCCCCGAGAAGGGGGGGUCCCUGCUGUGGCAACACCCCGUGCCCCCAGCCCCAUCAAGGUUCGUGCCCCCGUCCUGCACCAGGAUGCCCACGGAGACUCACAGAGCCAGAAAAGCCCGCGGGAAGGGGGCCAGGGAGCUCUUGGCCGGGGCCAACCGCCCUCACCCCGAAAUUCCUCCAGCCAGCCUCUGAAACAGGACGGCAGCGUUAAAUCCCCCAUCAGAGCCAGCCCGGCGGUCUGCCGGCCCCCCAGCCCUGCGGCUCAUUUUGCAGCUGGGUGCAAGGUCUGCGAUGCUGGGGGGGGUCCCCAGGGAACCCAGCAGUGCCACCCAGACCCAAGUUCAAGGGCUGGGGGUGCUGAGGGACCUGGGGUGCCAGCGGACAAACCGGGGGGAGGCUGUGGCCCCAGCGGAGGGAACGAGCGUCUCCAGGGAUGCUGGGGACACGUGCAGCCCCCCGGCUACGGCAAGGUGGUAGAGGAGCUCUCCCGUGGGAGGCAACCCCUGCGCCCCGUGGGGCUGGGGAACUGGGUCCCCAAAACACCCCCGCAAGCCGCCCCUCAGCCCACCGCCCUCCCGGCUCGAGGGGAGGCGGAGGUGCCGGGAGCCGGGGGUCAGACCCCACGGGGACCCAGGGCCAGCAACGUCCCCAAGCCCCGGCGGUGCCUGAAGAAACCCGAGCGCGUGCCCUCCAUCUACAAGCUGAAGCUGCGGCCCAAGGCUCGUCCCCGGCGGGACCACAGGCCGGGCAAGCGCCCCUCGCGUAUCCCCACCCCGCUGGGCCAGCGCCCGCCAGCCCCCCGGGGCCAGCAUCACCCCCCGGGACCACCCCGGCACCCCCAGCCCAGUGGCACCCGCUCCGGGGCCAAGCCCUCGCCGGCCGACAGCGGUGCCUGGCUGACCGAGGAUGACGAGGAGGCGUGGGUCUGA
Molecule: long non-coding RNA, 1125 nt
Filed under: Accipiter nisus (Eurasian sparrowhawk)
Lineage: Eukaryota; Metazoa; Chordata; Aves; Accipitriformes; Accipitridae
Description: lncRNA (ENSANIG00000013060.1)
Source: RNAcentral